Molecule: ribosomal RNA, 198 nt
Filed under: Triglops sp. KT-2016
Lineage: Eukaryota; Metazoa; Chordata; Actinopteri; Perciformes; Cottidae
Description: partial 12S ribosomal RNA
Rfam family: Bacterial small subunit ribosomal RNA
Source: RNAcentral
GCACUGAAACGUACAUCUGAAGGAGGAUUUAGCAGUAAGCAGGAAAUAGAGCGUCCCGCUGAAACCGGCCCUGAAGCGCGCACACACCGCCCGUCACUCUCCCCAAAGACGCCAAUAAAUUAACUAAAACCUAAUAAUUAAAAAGGGGAGGCAAGUCGUAACAUGGUAAGCGUACCGGAAGGUGCGCUUGGAAAAAUC